AUGGCGGGGCUGGUGGUCACCAUGGCGAUCCGCCCGCUGGUGUCCAUGCUGAGGGACAAGGCGUCCAGCUACAUCCUCGAUGAGUACAAUGUGAUGGAGGGAAUGGAGAAGCAACAUAGGAUUCUGAAACGCAGGCUUCCUAUCAUCCUGGACGUCAUCACCGACGCCGAGGAGCAGGCCGCAGCACACAGAGAAGGAGCUAAAGCUUGGCUCCAGGAGCUCAAGACAGUGGCCUAUGAGGCAAAUGAAGUCUUUGACGAGUUCAGGUAUGAAGCGCUCCGCCGUGAAGCAAAGAAGAAUGGACACUACAAAAAGCUUGGCUUUGAUGUUAUAAAACUCUUCCCUACCCACAACCGUGUCGUGUUCCGUCACAGAAUGGGUAGCAAGCUUUGCAGGAUUCUAAAAGAUAUCAAUGUCCUCAUAGCAGAGAUGCAUGACUUUGGGUUGAGGCAGACAUUAUUGGUGUCCAAUCAGUUGAGGCAGACACUGGUGUCCAAGGAGUGGAGGCAGACAGAUUAUGUCAUCAUCGACACACAAGAAAUUGCCAGCAGAUCCAGACACGAAGAUAAGAAUAAUAUCAUCGACAUACUACUUGCUGAAGCUAGCAAUGCAGAUCUCGCAGUAGUUCCCGUUGUUGGAAUGGGGGGCCUUGGCAAGACCACAUUAGCGCAACUCAUAUACAAUGGACCUAAAAUUCAGAAGCAUUUUCCGUUGCAGCGCUGGGUCUGCGUCUCUGAUACCUUCGAUGUGAAUUUGGUGGCUAAGAGUAUAGUUGAAGCACCCCCCAAGAAAAAUGAUGAUACGGACAAACCAGCACUGGAUAGACUUCAAAAAUUGGUCAGCGGGCAGAGGUAUCUCCUUGUAUUGGAUGAUGUCUGGAACAGAGAGGUCCAUAAGUGGGAAAGGCUGAAGGUCUGUCUUAAGCAUGGUGGCAUGGGUAGUGCAGUGUUGACAACAACCCGUGAUAAACAAGUUGCUGAGAUUAUGGGUGCAGAUAGAACCUACAAUCUCAAUGUUUUGAAGGAUAACUUCAUCAAGGAAAUUAUUGAUACUAGAGCAUUCAGUUUAGAGAUUGAAAAGCUUCCUGAGCUACUCGAGAUGGUUGGUGAGAUUGUGAAGAGAUGUCGUGCCUCUCCUUUAGCUGCAACUGCUACUGCACUGGGAUCUGUACUUCGUACCAAGACUAGCGUGGCAGAAUGGAAGGCUAUAUCAUCUAGAAGCAGUAUUUGCACUGAGGAAACAGGAAUUUUGCCAAUACUCAAGCUUAGCUACAAUGAUCUGCCAGCACACAUGAAGCAGUGCUUUGCUUUCUGUGCCAUAUUUCCCAAGGAUUACAAGAUUAAUGCGGAGAAGCUUAUCCAACUAUGGAUCGCCAAUGGCUUUAUCCCAGAACAGGAGGAAGAUAGUCUUGAAACCAUUGGAAAACAUAUUUUCAAUGAGCUAGCAGCAAGGUCAUUCUUUCUAGACAUAGAAGAAUUUAAGGGCGACGGGGAGUAUUGUUUCAGAACUACAUGCAAAAUCCAUGAUCUUAUGCAUGAUAUUGCGAUGUCUGUUAUGGGAAAGGAAUGUGUCGUUGCAAUUAAGGAACCAAGUCAAAUCGAGUGGCUUUCGGAUACUGCUCGACACUUGUCCUUGUCAUGUGAAAAAACAGAAGGUAUUUUGAAUGAUUCUUUGGAGAAAAAAUCCCCUGCGAUUCAAACACUGAUAUGCGAUAGUCCUAUUCGAAGCUCAUUGAAGCAUUUAUCAAAAUACAGCUCUUUGCAUGCGUUGAAGCUCCGUAUGUGGACAAAAUCAUUUGCACUGAGAUCGAAGUAUCUACACCACCUGAGGUAUCUUGAUCUCUCGUGCAGUGAUAUCAGAUCACUUCCUGAAGAUAUAAGUAUUCUAUAUAACCUGCAAACGCUGGACCUUUCCAACUGCUCUUAUCUUGAUCGACUUCCGAGGCAAAUGAAGUAUAUGAGUUCCCUCCGCCACCUAUAUACUCAUGGAUGUCCGAAGCUGAAGUGCAUGCCCCCAGAAUUAGGAAAACCCAAUAAGCUGCAAACGCUUACAUGUUUCGUAGCAGCAGCAGUUAUUGGACCAAAUUGCAGUGAUGUUGCAGAGCUGCAGCAUUUAAACCUUGGUGUCCAGUUAGAGCUACGUCGGAUAGACAAUGUUACAGAAGCAAAAGCAAAAGUGGCAAACCUUGGAAAGAAGAAGGAUCUCAGAGAACUGACAUUAAGACGGACUUUUCUGUUUGUGACAACAAGGUGCUCGACAAUUUUGAACCACAUGAUGGGCUAG
This 2283-nucleotide ribosomal RNA is filed under the name Triticum aestivum (bread wheat). RNAcentral's name for it is "partial small subunit ribosomal RNA". The record is from RNAcentral. Lineage: Eukaryota; Viridiplantae; Streptophyta; Magnoliopsida; Poales; Poaceae.